CAAAACACUUGAGCCCUGUCCUGGUACUGCCUCAUGCGCCUCACCCCGCCCGCGGCCUUCUGGGGCCCAGCUCUCGGCAAGAUGACUCGACAGGGCCGGGGUGCCAGGACCUUAAAGAUCAGGAAACAGGUUCAUAGAGUUUUUAAGUGAUUUGCUUAGUCACACAGCUUGAACGAGGCAAAACUGAGAUUAGAAGCUUCUCUCCAUAUCCAAGCCCCCCCUUUUUUUUUCCAUUUUGGGAUUGAUUUUGGGAUUCCAGACUUGGCAGGAAGCUCUGCCACUUCUCAGUCUGCCCUCAGAGGCCCCCAAAUUUCAUGGCAGAAGCUUUUCUUCAUUUGAAGGAGGAUGCUUGCCCCAGUUGGUGCUGAGAAGGCAAGGCCGGUUACCUAUUCCUCUGCUUUACUCAAAUCUGAGUGUGGAAAGAGUACUUGAUAGAUAUGGAAUGAAUAACAUGCUGCCUGACUUCAAGGGUCCUGUGACCUGGCUCCCCACUGGCCAACUCUACAGAUGCAGAAAGUGCCCAGCUUGGGAGGAGUCACUUCCUGGCAAGCUCUUCUAAGGGAAGAUGAAACUGUUGUUACUUCACUUUUAACGUGCCAAGAGGAAGAGACUAGAAAUAAUGAAAUCAGGACAGGAAGACGCUGGGGGUAGGGGAUUGAGGAAAUGUGAAGCCCUUGUGCUAAGUCGACUCCAUACAAAGAUGACCCCCUGAUCCCUGGGUCUCCACUGCCCCACCCGGAAAAGAGGGGCCUCACCUGCAGUUACAAUCUACUGAAGACAACAGUGCUUGCCUCUGGGGUUAGGCUUCGAGCUCCCUGAAGACAAGCUGGCUCAUGUCUGAGUAUCUGCUGAACGUAGGAUGAGUGAAGUGAGAAUUGAAAUGAGAUCGAGAGUCAGCCUCCCAGUAGGGGAGGGGCCUUCUCUUGACACCUUCUCCACCCCAAGGAGCUUAAUGCCUCAGUUCUGUCCUAGCCAAGUCCAGUGGAGUCUGCACAUCCCGCCACCUCCGUUGCAGAGCCUGCUUCACUCCCUUCCAAGGAUCCCGGCAGAAGGACCCCCUUCCCAGGAUGUGCUCGCUAGUAAAGGAAGAGGCCAUGCGCCUUCCACUGGUCUCAGGCAUGGGCCGCGGCCACAGGCCGGCUAGAGGCAGCCCUCUGCUAAACUGUGUUGCCUCUGUGGGCCUGUAGUAGGUACAUAAUGGGCCCCGAAGAUAUUAGGUCCUAAUUCUUGGAACCUGUGAAUGUUCCCGUACACGGAAAGUCUUUGCAGAUGCGAUUAAAGGAAGGAUUUUGAGAUGGGGAGAUUAUCCUGGAUUAUCAGAGUGGGCUCUAAAUGUAAUCACCAGUGUCCUUUUAAGAGAGAGGCAGAGGAGAAGAGGAGGGGGCAAUGUGGCCACAGAAACAGAAAUUGGAGUGUGCGGCCACGAGACAAGGAAUGCUGGCGGCCACUGGAAGCUGGGAGAAGCCAGGGACGGAGUGUCUCCUAGAGUCUCCAGAGGGAGCAAGGCCCUGCCAACACCUUGACUUUCGUCCAGUGAUUUUGGUUUUGGACUUCUGGUCUUCUCAACUAUGAGAGAAGAAAUCUCUGUUGUUUUAAGUCAC
Long non-coding RNA from Aethalodelphis obliquidens (Pacific white-sided dolphin), 1601 nucleotides. RefSeq lists it as uncharacterized. The transcript has 2 exons. Lineage: Eukaryota; Metazoa; Chordata; Mammalia; Artiodactyla; Delphinidae. The record is from RefSeq and is a predicted model, not a curated record.